CCUACGGGGUGCUGCAGUGGGGAAUAUUGGACAAUGGGCGAAAGCCUGAUCCAGCCAUGCCGCGUGUGUGAAGAAGGCCUUCGGGUUGUAAAGCACUUUCAGUGGGGAAGAAAGCCUUGGGGCUAAUACCCUCGAGGAAGGACAUCACCCACAGAAGAAGCACCGGCUAACUCCGUGCCAGCAGCCGCGGUAAUACGGAGGGUGCGAGCGUUAAUCGGAAUUACUGGGCGUAAAGCGCGCGUAGGCGGUCUGAUAAGCCGGUUGUGAAAGCCCCGGGCUCAACCUGGGAACGGCAUCCGGAACUGUCAGGCUAGAGUGCAGGAGAGGAAGGUAGAAUUCCCGGUGUAGCGGUGCAAUGCGUAGAGAUCGGGAGGAAUACCAGUGGCGAAGGCGGCCUUCUGGACUGACACUGACGCUGAGGUGCGAAAGCGUGGGUAGCAAACAGGAUUAGAUACCCUAGUAGUC
Molecule: ribosomal RNA, 465 nt
Filed under: Vreelandella stevensii
Lineage: Bacteria; Pseudomonadati; Pseudomonadota; Gammaproteobacteria; Oceanospirillales; Halomonadaceae
Description: partial 16S ribosomal RNA
Rfam family: Bacterial small subunit ribosomal RNA
Source: RNAcentral